UAGGGAUUCUUCGGUAAUGGGGGGAACCCUGACCGAGCAACGCCGCGUGAGUGAAGAAGGUUUUCGGAUCGUAAACCCCUGUUGUUAAGGAAGAACGAGUGUGAGAAUGGAAAGUUCAUGCUGCGACGGUACUUAACCAGAAAGGGACGGCGAACUACGUGCCAGCAGCCGCGGUAAUACGUUGGCCCCGAGCGUUGUCCGGUUUUAUUGGGCGUAAAGCGAGCGCAGGCGGUUAGAAAAGUCUGAAGUGAAAGGCAGUGGCUCCACCAUUGUAGGCUUUGGAAGCUGUUUAACUUGGGUGCAGAAGGGGGGGGUGGAAUUCCUUGUGUGGGGGUGGAGUGGGUAGAUAUAUAGAGGAACACCGGUGGGGGAAGCGGCUCUCUGGUCUGUAACUAACGCUGAGGCUCGAAAGCGUGGGGGGCGGACAGG
RNAcentral lists this ribosomal RNA (429 nucleotides) under Verrucomicrobiota bacterium. Its description in RNAcentral is "Verrucomicrobia bacterium partial 16S ribosomal RNA". It matches the Rfam family "Bacterial small subunit ribosomal RNA", at positions 355 to 776 of the family's 1533-position model. The record is from RNAcentral. Lineage: Bacteria; Pseudomonadati; Verrucomicrobiota.